CUUCACCGUGCCGAGCUUCAGCGGACGGUCCGCGGGCCGCUCCCGCCCGUAGGUGGCGAGCAGCGCCUCCGCCUC
RNAcentral lists this antisense RNA (75 nucleotides) under Streptomyces albus subsp. albus DSM 41398. Its description in RNAcentral is "ASpks TB sRNA". It matches the Rfam family "ASpks TB sRNA". The record is from Rfam by way of RNAcentral. Lineage: Bacteria; Bacillati; Actinomycetota; Actinomycetes; Kitasatosporales; Streptomycetaceae.